This 1480-nucleotide ribosomal RNA is filed under the name Plateros sp. UPOL A00489. RNAcentral's name for it is "SSU rRNA". It matches the Rfam family "Eukaryotic small subunit ribosomal RNA", at positions 32 to 1398 of the family's 1831-position model. Lineage: Eukaryota; Metazoa; Arthropoda; Insecta; Coleoptera; Lycidae. The record is from RNAcentral.
UUGUCUCAAAGAUUAAGCCAUGCAUGUCUCAGUACAAGCCAAAUUAAGGUGAAACCGCGAAAGGCUCAUUAAAUCAGUUAUGGUUCCUUAGAUCGUACCAACAUUUACUUGGAUAACUGUGGUAAUUCUAGAGCUAAUACAUGCAAACAGAGCUCCGACCGGAGACGGAAGGAGCGCUUUUAUUAGAUCAAAACCAAUCGGCGGCGGGUUCGUUCGCGAGCUCGUCGUCGUUCGCAUUGACGAAUCUGAAUAACUUUCUGCUGAUCGCACGGUCUCGCACCGGCGACGCAUCUUUCAAAUGUCUGCCUUAUCAACUGUCGAUGGUAGGUUCUGUGCCUACCAUGGUUGUAACGGGUAACGGGGAAUCAGGGUUCGAUUCCGGAGAGGGAGCCUGAGAAACGGCUACCACAUCCAAGGAAGGCAGCAGGCGCGCAAAUUACCCACUCCCGGCACGGGGAGGUAGUGACGAAAAAUAACGAUACGGGACUCAUCCGAGGCCCCGUAAUCGGAAUGAGAACAAUUUAAAUCCUUUAACGAGGAUCAAUUGGAGGGCAAGUCUGGUGCCAGCAGCCGCGGUAAUUCCAGCUCCAAUAGCGUAUAUUAAAGUUGUUGCGGUUAAAAAGCUCGUAGUCGAAUCUGUGUCCCGCGCCGCCGGUUCGUCGCUCGCGGCGUUUAACUGGCGUGUCCGCGGGACGUCCUGCCGGUGGGCUUAGCCCUUUCGCGAGGGCGGCCCAAUUGUAAUCCCGCCGCGGUGCUCUUCACCGAGUGUCGAGGCGGGCCGGCACGUUUACUUUGAACAAAUUAGAGUGCUUAAAGCAGGCUAAAACUUUGCCUGAAUACUUCGUGCAUGGAAUAAUGGAAUAGGACCUCGGUUCUAUUUUGUUGGUUUUCGGAACCCCGAGGUAAUGAUUAAUAGGAACGGAUGGGGGCAUUCGUAUUGCGACGUUAGAGGUGAAAUUCUUGGAUCGUCGCAAGACGGACAGAAGCGAAAGCAUUUGCCAAAAACGUUUUCAUUGAUCAAGAACGAAAGUUAGAGGUUCGAAGGCGAUCAGAUACCGCCCUAGUUCUAACCAUAAACGAUGCCAGCUAGCGAUCCGCCGACGUUCCUCCGAUGACUCGGCGGGCAGCUUCCGGGAAACCAAAGCUUUUGGGUUCCGGGGGAAGUAUGGUUGCAAAGCUGAAACUUAAAGGAAUUGACGGAAGGGCACCACCAGGAGUGGAGCCUGCGGCUUAAUUUGACUCAACACGGGAAACCUCACCAGGCCCGGACACCGGAAGGAUUGACAGAUUGAGAGCUCUUUCUUGAUUCGGUGGGUGGUGGUGCAUGGCCGUUCUUAGUUGGUGGAGCGAUUUGUCUGGUUAAUUCCGAUAACGAACGAGACUCUGGCCUGCUAACUAGGCGUAUUUCCGACAUCUCGAAGGCCCGCCGGCCUGGUGCGUUCGCGUGCCAUGUCGUGCGCGGUUUUUACUGUCGGCGUAC